AUUGAACGCUGGCGGCAGGCCUAACACAUGCAAGUCGAACGAGUGGCGGACGGGUGAGUCAUGUCUGGGAAACUGCCCGAUGGAGGGGGAUAACUACUGGAAACGGUAGCUAAUACAGCAUACCAUCGGAUGUGCCCAGAUGGGCUUAGCUAGUAGGUGGGGUAAAGGCUCACCUAGGCGACGAUCCCUAGCUGGUCUGAGAGGAUGACCAGCCACAAUGGAAUGGAGAGACGGUCAAGACUCCUAAGGGAGGCAGCAGUGGGGAAUAUGGCACAAUGGGCGCAAGCCUGAUGCAGCCAUGCCGCGUGUAUGAAGAAGGCCGUCGGGUUGUAAAGGACUUUCAGCGGGGAGGCGUUACCCGCAGAAGAAGCACCGGCUAACUCCGUGCCAGCAGCCGCGGUAAUUC
Molecule: ribosomal RNA, 406 nt
Filed under: uncultured bacterium
Lineage: Bacteria
Description: partial 16S ribosomal RNA
Rfam family: Bacterial small subunit ribosomal RNA
Source: RNAcentral